AAACCGGAGCUAAUACCGGAUAAUAUUUUGAACCGCAUGGUUCAAAGUAAAAGACGGUCUUGCUGUCACUUAUAGAUGGAUCCGCGCUGCAUUAGCUAGUUGGUAAGGUAACGGCUUACCAAGGCAACGAUGCAUAGCCGACCUGAGAGGGUGAUCGGCCACACUGGAACUGAGACACGGUCCAG
Molecule: ribosomal RNA, 185 nt
Filed under: uncultured Staphylococcus sp.
Lineage: Bacteria; Bacillati; Bacillota; Bacilli; Caryophanales; Staphylococcaceae
Description: partial 16S ribosomal RNA
Rfam family: Bacterial small subunit ribosomal RNA
Source: RNAcentral